CAGGAGGCUCUGAGGCCAGCAGGGCUGAAAGCCUGCUCUGCAUUCACUAAGUGUGUGACCUCGGUUUUUAACCCUACAGAUUAGAAGCAUGAGAUACAUUCGCCUUGUUCGGCUACCAUCACCACUACCCUUCUCCAGAGCUCUUUUCCUCCUACAAAACAGAAACUCAGUAUCCACAAUCCCAAACCCAUCUACUGAACUACGACAUUUGGACUGCCUAUGCAGCUACUAAAAGCAUCAAAGUUGAUACAUAUGGAAGUCAAAGACCCUGGCUCACCCACAGCAAAGGUCUUGGAGUUCCACCAGAACAGACUUCUCCAGCUUGCCUUGCAGUUGACCCCUGGAAACUAUCCAAAACUAAGUCUCCCACAGGCACAUUCCUGAUAUGGGCACAUGUGGCUCUCCCGGGAAAUAGCGCCCACUGUAGAAUGAGUUUCCGAUCUUCA
Molecule: long non-coding RNA, 446 nt
Organism: Prionailurus viverrinus (fishing cat)
Lineage: Eukaryota; Metazoa; Chordata; Mammalia; Carnivora; Felidae
Exons: 3
Source: RefSeq, a predicted model, not a curated record